GACGAACGCUGGCGGCGUGCUUAACACAUGCAAGUCGAACGGAAAGGCCCUGCUUUUGUGGGGUGCUCGAGUGGCGAACGGGUGAGUAACGCGUGAGUAACCUGCCCUUGACUUUGGGAUAACUUCAGGAAACUGGGGCUAAUACCGGAUAGGAGCUCCUGCUGCAUGGUGGGGGUUGGAAAGUUUCGGCGGUUGGGGAUGGACUCGCGGCUUAUCAGCUUGUUGGUGGGGUAGUGGCUUACCAAGGCUUUGACGGGUAGCCGGCCUGAGAGGGUGACCGGCCACAUUGGGACUGAGAUACGGCCCAGACUCCUACGGGAGGCAGCAGUGGGGAAUAUUGCACAAUGGGCGGAAGCCUGAUGCAGCAACGCCGCGUGCGGGAUGACGGCCUUCGGGUUGUAAACCGCUUUCGCCUGUGACGAAGCGUGAGCGACGGUAAUGGGUAAAGAAGCACCGGCUAACUACGUG
This 468-nucleotide ribosomal RNA is filed under the name uncultured bacterium. RNAcentral describes it as "partial 16S ribosomal RNA". It matches the Rfam family "Bacterial small subunit ribosomal RNA", at positions 28 to 507 of the family's 1533-position model. The record is from RNAcentral.